RNAcentral lists this ribosomal RNA (188 nucleotides) under uncultured bacterium. RNAcentral's name for it is "partial 16S ribosomal RNA". It matches the Rfam family "Bacterial small subunit ribosomal RNA", at positions 521 to 708 of the family's 1533-position model. The record is from RNAcentral.
UAAUACGUAGGGUGCGAGCGUUGUCCGGAAUUAUUGGGCGUAAAGAGCUCGUAGGCGGUUUGUUGCGUCUAUCGUGAAAACCUGGGGCUCAACCCCGGGCCUGCGGUGGAUACGGGCAGACUUGAGUUCGGUAGGGGAGACUGGAAUUCCUGGUGUAGCGGUGAAAUGCGCAGAUAUCAGGAGGAACA